AUAAUGUCCACUGUGUCUGUAAAACUACAAAAGUGGAUUCACAUUGUCUAGGCAAUGUCUGCGUUUCCCAGACCACAGAGGGAAUAGAGAGCAUAAAAGAAGGGAUUUUUACCUUUAAAGUCGCAGAUGACAUUCCAGCGCAAGGUGAGAGAAGCAUCACACUCGAAACUCAUGUUCCUUUUGAUAAAUUCCCUUAGAACACUGGGGCCCAGGCUAAAGUAGUUUCACAGUGUGGAACGCUAGCUCUGUAAGAAGAGCUGACUUAUUUCAGAUAGGUGGGUUUUUUUUUUUUUUUAAACCAAGAGCAUACAGUUAUCAUAGCAGGCUACAGUCAUCUAGAAAUUGAAUGAACAAAUUAGAAAAAAUAAAAAAGGAAGGGGAAAUAUAACUGUUCCGAGAUUGAGUUCCUGUUCCCCUGUGUGGAAGAGGUUUAAAGCAUUGGCAUUCGGCAGCUUCUUUGGUGACCAGCUACAUCCUUUGGCAGUAGGCUUAAGUGCUCACCAUUGCACUGAGUGAAGAGCAUGCUGAACGGUGAUGUUCCAGUUUAAAAGGACAGCGCUGCAAACAAAGACUAUCAACUUGUAGAAAACAAGAAUGAUUUACCUUUUCUUACCAAUGAGGAAACAAACAUGCUACCAUCUGGGAAAAUGGGAAGACCAUGGACUUUCGCAUUAGGCAGAACGUGUGUCAGUGUUUUAUUUGCUUCACGUUAUGUAACCUCUUGAGACUUUAAUAUCUUUAUCUAUUAAAUGGGUUAAUAAUGUGUCCCUACCAGGGUGACUGAGGUUAGAAUUAA
RNAcentral lists this long non-coding RNA (796 nucleotides) under Equus caballus (horse). Its description in RNAcentral is "lncRNA (ENSECAG00000060116.1)". The record is from RNAcentral. Lineage: Eukaryota; Metazoa; Chordata; Mammalia; Perissodactyla; Equidae.